Molecule: transfer RNA, 75 nt
Filed under: Actinomycetota bacterium
Lineage: Bacteria; Bacillati; Actinomycetota
Description: tRNA-Pro
Rfam family: tRNA
About the family: Transfer RNA (tRNA) molecules are approximately 80 nucleotides in length.
Source: RNAcentral
CGGGGAGUGGCGCAGCGGUAGCGCACCUGCUUUGGGAGCAGGAGGUCGGGGGUUCGAAUCCCCCUUCCCCGACCA